AGCGAUGAUUGGCGGAUAUGAUAGAUAGGUAAAGGGAUAUCCGGAUUGGUUGCCGCCUUCUCGGCUGUAGGACAGCCGGACAGAGAAUCUUCGUCUAGAGAAUUUUUCAGAAAGCUCAGAGCCAGAUCGAAUGUGAAUUGAAGCCAUUUUCCUUGCCCCCAGGUUUCCGGGUAAGUACUUUCCGUUGCAUGGUUUUAUGUUGAUUAUUAUUUUAAUGUGUGAAUUGUGGAUCAGUAAAGGCAAUGAUGAG
This 250-nucleotide long non-coding RNA is filed under the name Bos indicus x Bos taurus (hybrid cattle). Its description in RNAcentral is "lncRNA (ENSBIXG00000017918.1)". Lineage: Eukaryota; Metazoa; Chordata; Mammalia; Artiodactyla; Bovidae. The record is from RNAcentral.